Molecule: ribosomal RNA, 526 nt
Filed under: uncultured bacterium
Lineage: Bacteria
Description: bacterial SSU rRNA
Rfam family: Bacterial small subunit ribosomal RNA
Source: RNAcentral
GACAUCCAGAGAAUUUAGCAGAGAUGCUUUAGUGCCUUCGGGAACUCUGAGACAGGUGCUGCAUGGCUGUCGUCAGCUCGUGUUGUGAAAUGUUGGGUUAAGUCCGCAACGAGCGCAACCCUUAUCCUUUGUUGCCAGCACGUAAUGGUGGGAACUCAAAGGAGACUGCCGGUGAUAAACCGGAGGAAGGUGGGGAUGACGUCAAGUCAUCAUGGCCCUUACGAGUAGGGCUACACACGUGCUACAAUGGCGUAUACAAAGAGAAGCGACCUCGCGAGAGCAAGCGGACCUCAUAAAGUGCGUCGUAGUCCGGAUUGGAGUCUGCAACUCGACUCCAUGAAGUCGGAAUCGCUAGUAAUCGUAAAUCAGAAUGUUACGGUGAAUACGUUCCCGGGCCUUGUACACACCGCCCGUCACACCAUGGGAGUGGGUUGCAAAAGAAGUAGAUAGCUUAACCUUCGGGAGGGCGUUUACCACUUUGUGAUUCAUGACUGGGGUGAAGUCGUAACAAGGUAAGCGUAGUGCU